This 254-nucleotide ribosomal RNA is filed under the name uncultured bacterium. Its description in RNAcentral is "partial 16S ribosomal RNA". It matches the Rfam family "Bacterial small subunit ribosomal RNA", at positions 524 to 776 of the family's 1533-position model. The record is from RNAcentral.
UACGUAGGGUCCGAGCGUUGUCCGGAAUUAUUGGGCGUAAAGAGCUCGUAGGCGGUUCGUCGCGUCUGCCGUGAAUCCUCAGGCUCAACUUGAGGCGUGCGGUGGGUACGGGCGGGCUAGAGUGCGGUAGGGGAGAAUGGAACUCCUGGUGUAGCGGUGGAAUGCGCAGAUAUCAGGAAGAACACCGAUGGCGAAGGCAGUUCUCUGGGCCGUAACUGGACGCUGAGGAGCGGAAAGCGUGGGGAGCGAACAGG